GUGGAAUUCGCCCUUUGGCUACGCGAGCGCAUGAGAUGUUUUUGACCCGUGUCUGCUGGUAGGUCCCCCGUCUUUGUGCGGCCGACUAUUGGCGCCGUGUCUUGCCAUUUGUGUGAGCUAUCUUACGUUGCCUUUCAAGUGCUUGCGUGAUGUUACCUGACCUAUGGGUAUUGGUGCUUCAUACAUAGUUGCCUCGUGGUGGACGCCUUUGGGUGUGCUGCUGCGGCCAUAUGGCGAUUGUGGCGUUGCCUCGUGGUGCUGGUUCUCGUGCCCGGUGCUAUCAAGGCAGCCUUGCUCUCGUUAAUGGUUUUGGAUGUCGCUCAUGAUAUAUAUCCUCGUGGCCCAUUUGGUUGCCUCGGGGCUUGACCCUAAGAACGCUCUCCGACUUUGAGAACAUCGUUGAACGAAUGUUGCCUCUACCUUUCCUCAACAAGUGGAAGGAUUACGCAGCAGACUCGAGUCCGAUCCCCAAAUAAGUCGGACGAGCAAGACCCUAAGAAUGCUCUCCGACUUUGAGAACAUCGUUGAACGAAUGUUGCCUCUACCUUUCCACAGCAAGUGGCAAGGAUUACGCAGCAUACUCGAUUCCGAUCCCCAAAUAAGUCGGACGAGCUUGGCCCGCUCAACAGCGACAACCGGCCCGAUUGUUGCCUCUGCAUUGCCACGCAAGUGGCGGUGGGUGGGGUGACUACCGGUGUUGGAAGUCUAAGAGGACGUGCUACCUGGUUGAUCCUGCCAGUAGUCAUAUGCUUGUCUAAGGGCGAAUUCCACAUU
This 774-nucleotide unclassified non-coding RNA is filed under the name Anthoxanthum odoratum. Its description in RNAcentral is "partial external transcribed spacer". Lineage: Eukaryota; Viridiplantae; Streptophyta; Magnoliopsida; Poales; Poaceae. The record is from RNAcentral.